UACGUAGGGGCGAGCGUUAUCCGGAAUUAUUGGGCGUAAAGGGUUCGCAGGCGGCCUUGUAAGUCAGAUGUGAAAGACAGCGGCUUAACCGUUGUAAGCAUUUGAAACUGCAGGGCUUGAGUACAGGAGAGGAAAGCGGAAUUCCUAGUGUAGCGGUGAAAUGCGUAGAUAUUAGGAGGAACACCAGUGGCGAAGGCGGCUUUCUGGACUGAUACUGACGCUGAGGAACGAAAGCGUGGGGAGCAAACAGGAUUAGAUACCCUCGUAGUCCCUGA
RNAcentral lists this ribosomal RNA (275 nucleotides) under uncultured prokaryote. RNAcentral describes it as "partial 16S ribosomal RNA". It matches the Rfam family "Bacterial small subunit ribosomal RNA", at positions 524 to 800 of the family's 1533-position model. The record is from RNAcentral.